Non-coding RNA from Pelobates cultripes (western spadefoot toad), 353 nucleotides. The record is from the annotation of a GenBank genome assembly. Lineage: Eukaryota; Metazoa; Chordata; Amphibia; Anura; Pelobatidae.
GGGAGAUUUGUCCUUCAGUCGUGAUUGCAUAACUGCCAUAGAGGUAACACUGUCGGAGUGAUACCUGGUGCGGCCAGCUGGGGGUCACCCAACAAGCACAAGCAUAUCAUGCAGUAUAGGCCCUCAGUCUGAACAUAAUCUGACACUGUAGGUACAGUAGUGCCGUAGUGGUUAGCCGUAUAAUAAAGUAACCAGACAUUGCCGGUCCAGCAGUGCAGACGGCAGGAGGGGGUCACCCUCAUGUAACCAUAACCGGGCAUUGCAGAUCCAGCAGUGCUGUACGUAAGAGGGGGUCACCCUCAGUGUGGUAUAAUAGAGGUCUGUACACCCAGUAGUGUAGUCAGCGAGAGGGG